Molecule: ribosomal RNA, 253 nt
Filed under: uncultured bacterium
Lineage: Bacteria
Description: partial 16S ribosomal RNA
Rfam family: Bacterial small subunit ribosomal RNA
Source: RNAcentral
UACGUAGGGCGCAAGCGUUAUCCGGAAUUAUUGGGCGUAAAGAGCUCGUAGGCGGUUUGUCGCGUCUGCCGUGAAAGUCCGGGGCUCAACUCCGGAUCUGCGGUGGGUACGGGCAGACUAGAGUGAUGUAGGGGAGACUGGAAUUCCUGGUGUAGCGGUGAAAUGCGCAGAUAUCAGGAGGAGCACCGAUGGCGAAGGCAGGUCUCUGGGCAUUAACUGACGCUGAGGAGCGAAAGCAUGGGGAGCGAACAGG